Molecule: transfer RNA, 76 nt
Filed under: Escherichia coli
Lineage: Bacteria; Pseudomonadati; Pseudomonadota; Gammaproteobacteria; Enterobacterales; Enterobacteriaceae
Also listed under: 8 other names
Description: tRNA-Asn(gtt)
Rfam family: tRNA
About the family: Transfer RNA (tRNA) molecules are approximately 80 nucleotides in length. Their secondary structure includes four short double-helical elements and three loops (D, anti-codon, and T loops). Further hydrogen bonds mediate the characteristic L-shaped molecular structure. tRNAs have two regions of fundamental functional importance: the anti-codon, which is responsible for specific mRNA codon recognition, and the 3' end, to which the tRNAs corresponding amino acid is attached (by aminoacyl-tRNA synthetases). tRNAs cope with the degeneracy of the genetic code in two manners: having more than one tRNA (with a specific anti-codon) for a particular amino acid; and 'wobble' base-pairing, i.e. permitting non-standard base-pairing at the 3rd anti-codon position.
Source: RNAcentral
UCCUCUGUAGUUCAGUCGGUAGAACGGCGGACUGUUAAUCCGUAUGUCAUUGGUUCGAGUCCAGUCAGAGGAGCCA